Molecule: ribosomal RNA, 228 nt
Filed under: Triticum aestivum (bread wheat)
Lineage: Eukaryota; Viridiplantae; Streptophyta; Magnoliopsida; Poales; Poaceae
Description: partial small subunit ribosomal RNA
Source: RNAcentral
AUGCGCACACGAGGAGCGACGGCGACCGCGUCUGCCGCCAACACCGAGCUCUUCGUUCUUUCAAGCCCUAUGUUGCUUACUCAAAUGUUUGUGGCGAUUGUAUCCUUGUGCCGUGAAUAUUUGUACUUAGCAGAUCAAUAUAAACAUAUUGGCUAUCUAUUUACCAAUUCAGAAUUUAAAGCACUUUAUUUUAUGGCCUUGAGUAAAAGUUCAGUCGUUGUUGGCUAG